UCCCUGGUGGCUCAGACAGUAAAGAAUCUGUCUGUAAUGCAGGAGACCCAGGUUCGAUCCCUGGGUCGGGAA
This 72-nucleotide transfer RNA is filed under the name Ovis aries (sheep). It matches the Rfam family "tRNA". From Rfam's summary of the family: Transfer RNA (tRNA) molecules are approximately 80 nucleotides in length. Their secondary structure includes four short double-helical elements and three loops (D, anti-codon, and T loops). Lineage: Eukaryota; Metazoa; Chordata; Mammalia; Artiodactyla; Bovidae. The record is from Rfam by way of RNAcentral.